This is a long non-coding RNA of Lycium barbarum (goji berry), 890 nucleotides long. RefSeq lists it as uncharacterized. The transcript has 3 exons. The record is from RefSeq and is a predicted model, not a curated record. NCBI's taxonomy places the organism in Eukaryota, Viridiplantae, Streptophyta, Magnoliopsida, Solanales, Solanaceae.
UUUGUGAAACAAAAGUAUCAUAAGGAAACUGAAAACGUAUAGCAACAUAGUUCAUUCCAUUUCUUAAAUUUCCUCACUUUGGAUGCAUUUCAUUUUUAAUUAGGCAAAUUAAGAAAAGGAAGGGGUUCGGCCAUGGCUGCUUUCGGCCAUGGCAGUCCAAUAUAUAUUAAAAAAAAAAAAAAGUGGUUUUUUCUUGCUUAGAUUAGUUCCAAGGUGAUUUGCAAGUUCAAGGAGUUGAUAGCAACAUUGGAUAUUGAAUCGAGGAAGGAGAAAUUGCGAAAUUGGAGCAAUUAAGCGUAGAAAUUCCUCCGAGAAAAUUGUGGCUAAAAGAGCGACGAGACGAACGGUUUUACGAUUAGUCGUCAACAGGUACAGACGCUCGUUUUGGUGAUCCGCCAGCUUAGGAUAUAUAUUCAGCUAUCUUGGAGUGCUCCCUUGUUCCGGAGCCUAGCUUUGUGGUACAGAUCCUCCUAUUGUAUAUAUAUGUCUACCCAAGGGUACGACGGGGCCCUGUCCCGUCAUAUGAUACUGUUGUUACUCUUAGAGGUCUAUAGACAUAUGUGUGGGUCUGUAUAUAGUUGCUGUUUAGUUGUGUGGAUAUGACUUAUGUUUUGGGGCGUACCCAUUCGUAGUGGCAGCCUUGUCGGCUUGUGUAUAUAUAUGUUUUGGGAUGUUGUGUGUAGUGGCAGCCUUGUCGGCUUGCGUAGAUAUAUAUACGUAUGUGUUUUGGAAGCCGUGUGUUAUGGUAGCCUUGUUGGCUCGUGUUUGGCUGGGGCGUUCCCCCUAUAUUGUGAUGGCCUUGCCGGCUUAUGUGCGAUAUUAUCUGUUGAAAUUUGUAACUCCUCAGGAGACAGGUUGCUAUGACAUAUAUAUAUGUGACAGUUUUAGGA